RNAcentral lists this long non-coding RNA (619 nucleotides) under Gallus gallus (chicken). Its description in RNAcentral is "lncRNA (ENSGALG00010014404.1)". The record is from RNAcentral. Lineage: Eukaryota; Metazoa; Chordata; Aves; Galliformes; Phasianidae.
AUAAAAACAUCUACAAUAAAAAUAAUCACUCUUGACUUCCUUUGUAGUCAAUGGAGAGAAACAAACAUUUGUGGAGUGUGACUCACCUCAUUCCAAAGUAGGUGUCUAAACUAGUUUGGGUGAAUCAUGUUGUAAAAAUGCCUAAUUCUCUACAUAAUGAGAGCCUCUGGUGACAACUUCAGAUAUAGUUUACUGCACUGUAGAAACCCUCAUCCAAAGGGAGAUGAAUAGAUUUUCUUCUUAGGAGAUCCUAAGAGUAGAUAAACUACCACUUUAGUCCGGACCAUCACCAACAACUGAUGCCUGAGACAACAUACUUAAAGAAAAAUGCAAGAACAAGAAGUCACAUCUGACCCUGUGUAUGUACAGCUGAUCUCUACAGUAAAGAGAAUGGAACAAAUCUCAACCUCCAGGUUGGGAAGAAGAAGUGGACAGGAGAGUAUUUUGUGGUAUUUUUACUGGCCUGACUGAAGCUGAGGAGGUAUUAGAGGUAAUCUCAUGAGAAAGUUCGACCUUGCAAGAUUUCCGAUUGUUUUCCAGAGCCAAGAGAUUCAGAUACAUUUGGAUAGACUUUGAAUAAACAUCCAACUCUUUGCAUGCUUGCCUUAACUGAAGAUCC